RNAcentral lists this ribosomal RNA (389 nucleotides) under uncultured Glomus. Its description in RNAcentral is "SSU rRNA". It matches the Rfam family "Eukaryotic small subunit ribosomal RNA", at positions 569 to 961 of the family's 1831-position model. The record is from RNAcentral. Lineage: Eukaryota; Fungi; Glomeromycota; Glomeromycetes; Glomerales; Glomeraceae.
AGCAGCCGCGGUAAUUCCAGCUCCAAUAGCGUAUAUUAAAGUUGUUGCAGUUAAAAAGCUCGUAGUUGAAUUUCGGAACCGAUGGAUCGGUCACGCCAUUCGGUGUGUACUGGUUUAAUUGGUUCUCACCUUCUAAGGAACCGUGAUGUCAUUAAUUUGGUGUCGCGGGGAAUUAGGACUGUUACCUUGAAAAGAUUAGAGUGUUUAAAGCAAGCUCACGCUUGAAUACAUUAGCAUGGAAUAAUGAAAUAGGACAUUGUAUUCUAUUUUGUUGGUUUCUAGGAUCGAUGUAAUGAUUAAUAGGGAUAGUUGGGGGCAUUAGUAUUCAAUUGUCAGAGGUGAAAUUCUUGGAUUUAUUGAAGACUAACUACUGCGAAAGCAUUUGCCAA